UACGUAGGUGGCAAGCGUUAUCCGGAUUUAUUGGGUGUAAAGGGCGUGUAGGCGGGAAUGCAAGUCAGAUGUGAAAACUCAGGGCUCAACCCUGAGCCUGCAUUUGAAACUGUGUUUCUUGAGUGCUGGAGAGGCAAUCGGAAUUCCGUGUGUAGCGGUGAAAUGCGUAGAUAUACGGAGGAACACCAGUGGCGAAGGCGGGUUCCUGGACAUUAACUGACGCUGAGGCACGAAGGCCAGGGGAGCGAAAGGG
RNAcentral lists this ribosomal RNA (253 nucleotides) under uncultured Oscillospira sp. RNAcentral describes it as "partial 16S ribosomal RNA". It matches the Rfam family "Bacterial small subunit ribosomal RNA", at positions 524 to 776 of the family's 1533-position model. The record is from RNAcentral. Lineage: Bacteria; Bacillati; Bacillota; Clostridia; Eubacteriales; Oscillospiraceae.